UCAACUCUCCCACUUGUCUCUGACUGGAGCUGCAGGCUAGGAAGGCCAAGAGCAGCCGCCACGGGGCAUCCUGCAAGCCUGCCCCUCACCAUGCUCCACGGCCCAUCCCACCCAAUGCUGGCUAGGCGAGCAGUCGUGCUCAUCUACCUGGCCUGGAACACCUACCAGGGCCUGGCCAUCCCUCAGGUUGCAGAAUGUGGCCUCUCCUGCUCUCAGGGCUUCACCUGCAGGAGCCGCAUGACCCGGGAUAUUUUCAACAGCUUCUGCCGGCCACCCCCCAUGUCCAUGUCCAGGUCGGUCCUGGGGACCCUGACACUGUCAACUGCCAUGAGAUGUACCCCGCAUGGCAGCUGCUCCCUGCUCCUGCUCAUGCACGCCUCCCUCACGAUGCACGAGAGCCUUCGGGGCCUAGAGGCCUGCUCCAUGAGCCUGGACACCCAGGAGACACAGUGUCAGAGCGUGCGGGUCUCCCGUGCCUCCCGACGGCUGCAGGCAGGGCGGCAGCUCCAGGUGCACUUGGACUGCUUUGAAGUGAGCGUGGCCCAGAGCCUCUACGUCACCCUGAGGAGUGUCCCGCACUUCUGCGGCGUCCAGCUGGAGCAGCAGUACCAAGUGGAAGGCUGCGGGGACGAGCACGUGGGAAGGAGCAUGCCCGACUGCUUUGCCGGGAAUCUCUCCUACUGGGUGGACCGCAGCCGCAAGGUCAUUCUAGUGCAGGUGCCCGAGGCCCCUGGGGGCCCCGACUACUACGUGCGCCUCUGCCUCAAGUGGUUCACCUGCGCAGAGGAGGGCGCCCUGGUGCAGGUGACAACAAACAGGGCCUCCAGGACGGUCUCUCUGCCCUACAGCCAAGAGCUGCCCUGCCUGUGCCUUGAGGGCUGGUCUGCCACCCCUGAUGCUGUGCGGAUCCAGAUCUGCCCCUUUGAAGCCGACACUGAGGCGCUGUGGGACGCCAUCCGCUACCACCCUGGCAGCCAGGCGCUGAGCUGGGAGCCAGCCUGCCCCGUGAGUGGCCACGUGAGCCUGUGCUGGCGCCCGAGGCCAGGGGCCCAGUGCCGAGAGCUAGAGCACUCAGGCCGGCCUGCCCACGGCAGGGUGCAGUACCCACUGGUGGACACGCAGCCCCAGCUCUGCCUGAAGUUCUCCACCAGCCUGGGCUUCUGGCCUGGCAGAUGGCCGUCCAGCCCGCACCCUCUCGGGGCCACCUCCGGGUCUUCUUCUUCUCGCACAGUCCCGCCCGAUUCCAGGUGCACCUAUGCCACAGAGGGAAGACGUGGCCCCCUGUCUGCCACCGAGAGCUCCAGGCCACCUCCCUCCCUCCAGCCUCAGGUGACCUCACAGCUGACCCUGCAGUUGCCUUCGUGGACAUCCUGGAGGAGGAGGCCUGUGUACCCCACACCUGCAUCCAGGGUCGGAGGACCGAUGUGCGCUUCUCUGCACCCCAGCAGCUGUGUGACCUCCGCUGCAGAACUCACGAUGGCCUCCCACCCGCCUUUGCCCACCCAGCCACGGAGGCCCAGAUCCCUGGAACCUCUGACUUGGCAGGAGACAGCUAACAAUGUGGGCCUGAGCUGCCACCCAGGUGUCUCAUGCAGAACAAGAAAGCAUGCCAGAUGGACUGCUGGGGUGUGGCGUGGGGGACAACUCACCUCCAGGCACCCCAAAGCUCUGAGAGCAAAGGCCAGGUCUCAGCAUGGGGGUGGUCUCACCCGACCCCAGGCUGUGGGCUCAGGCUCCUCCCAGCUCUCCAGAGGCCUGCAGCUCGUGGGAUUCCUCGGGCCGGACGUUGGGGGUGGGGGCCGGAUUCAGGUCAGAUGAAGGACCUUCAGCCCCUUCCUGAACCCACUGGGUGGGGGCCAACCAAAUAGCUGGGCAGCCUGCCCCCUUCCCCAGGCGGCCCAGCCCCUGCCCUGCCCUGCCUCGGCCUGGUCCCGUCUCCCUCUGGGCAGCCCGUGAUCACCUCACCAUCCUUGCCCUGAGGACGAGUACUAGCCCCUGCCCAGUGACUGCCAGAGCUGCCCUGGGCUUUCUGAGGCUGGCCAGCCCCUGGUGACCCAGGGCCACGUCCAGCGUGUGCCAGAGUGCCUCGCAGCUGUCCCUCUGACCCCGCUGAGAACCCAGGGUCCUGCAUGCCACCCAGAGCCCCCCACCCCCGCACCGACCCUCCCAGAGGGUCAGGCCAUGUCCCACUCUCCAGCCGCCCAGCUUGUCCAGGCCAGUGUCCAGUGGCCUUGGGGCCCCCAUCUGCAGCCACGACCAAGGACCACAGAGGGACCCCUAGCCCUUUAGUGGACUCCCCUGCCCCACACCAGGCGUCACAGCUGGCCCACCAGGUCUGCCUUCCCAGAGGCCACCCUGAGCUGCCCCGGCUCCUUUGUCCCUCGCUCAGCCCGCCGCGGCCACUGGGCCUUCUCUUCCUCCCUUAAUGGGGGCUGCUGUCCCCAGCAGACUAGGGGUGGGCGAGACCUUGUCUGCUCAGUAAACACCUGUCCGCCUGGUUCGCCUCUUCCCUUGACGGCAAGGAUGGGGUCCGCAGAGCAAGUAUCCCCUUGGUGCAGGUCGGGGGGAGGGUCACAGUGAGGGACGCUUGUUAAAGUGGGCGAAGGUUGUGACUGCCGCCUGGGGUGAGGCCAACUGUGGGCGGUGGAUGGCGCCUGCCUACCCCCACCGCGUAUGAGCUCCCGGGCUGCGCCUGAGGACGUCCUCUGGGCUGGAGACACCAACACCCCAACAGAGUGCCUCCCGGUGUGGGUGUGGGUGUGGGUGUGAGAGCGGUGUCCAGGCUGCCUCCCCAAGUUCAGCCCAAAGACCCACCCAAACCGUUGGAAAUGGGUGUCUGCCUCUUCUGGAACCUGCCAGUGUCCCCACAAAGGGGCUGCUGAGGGGCAUCCUGUGGGUGCUGAGACCUGGUCAGGCCAGGGGCUAGAAAGGAGUUGGGGAGUAGUGAGGGAGGACCUCCCGGAGGUGGAGGCCAAGCCCUCAGGCUCCAGGUACCCCCUGUACCCCAGGUCAGGGUCGCAGCCAGCAGGCUGGGGCUCCACACUCGGCAUGUUUCCUCAUUGCAGGCCUUCCUCUGCAGACCCCUGCCCCCCCAGGUGCCUCUCCCUGUUGGGGUACAGGGCUGGUGAGGAGACCAGAGUUCUGGCUCUAGGUGGGCAGCCUGGCACCAAGUUGCGGCUCCGCCGUCCUGGACCACACAGGAGCCCCUGGCAGUGCACAGACACCCCCCUCUCUGAGCAGGGCUCCCCCGGGAAUCCUUGCCCACCUGGAGGUGGAGAAGGGGGAGGAUCUGCAUGAGGGGUUUGCGGAGCUGCCCGGGUGCAGGCUCCUUCAGGGCUUCGCCACAGACUGCCAUCCCAGAAGGGGAAACUGAGGCUCAGGCGGAGGCCAUGACUGAGCUCCUGUCCAGGGCCAGGGAAGCUCAGGCUACAGGGCAUGGGGUGGGGAGGGCGUGUGCAGGUCCCAGCUGCCCAGCAGUCCCCACGGGCUGCUGCCAAGCGUCCAUGGAGCUCAGUGCUGGAUUCUGAGCUGGGCCAGGUUUUGAGACCACACCCAGCGCGCCAGGGCCCAGCAGGCCCACUCCCUUGCCAGCAACACCUCCCCCAGGCCGCACCUGCUCAGGAGGAAGGUGCUGAUGAGCCGCCCCGGAUGGGGGGUGAGUAAGGGCGGAACCACACCAGGUUCACGGACAAGCUGGGGUGAGCCUGCGGACGUCCCUCCCCGUUCAUUCCUCAAGCAAGUGCUGAGCCCAGAGCCACGCUGACCCAGCGCUGGAGCAAACAGCCCAGACGGACUGAGGGGCUGACCUCUGGUCAGCACCUGGAGCUGACCUUUGCAUGGGGCAGGCAGACCACAGGAGGCUACCUGUGUGGAUUAUAUGGGCUGCCCAGCGCCAGCAUGAGGCCAGGCAGAAGGGGGCUGGGGAAACAAACGGGAAGUGUGGGAGGGGUUCCAGCUAGAACAGGGUGGUCCCAAGACAGGUGAGUGGACGGUGCAGAGGGGAGAGGCUGAGAGCUGCCUGAUUCUAGCAGGAUCGGCAGGUGCACGGCGGGGUGUGGCGGGCAGGUGGGGCCGUGGGGUGUCCUCGUGUGCACCGUGGGUACAGCAAACAGAUCAACGCUCUGGCCUCAGCGACUGGAGGGCGGAGCUCCGUGGGCGGAUGUGGACGCGGCAGCGGGCACGGGCUGUGGACACGGUGAGUUCAGGCCGCCCGCGAGGCAUUCAUUUGUUCGCUCAUUUGGCAUUGCUGAUGUGGCCUGCUGUUUGCUCCCUCCCAGUGUACAAGGGGCAGCUCAAGGCAGAGGGGAGAGUCCUGCACGCUACAAGGAUGAUGUACAGAGGGCCCUUCAGAAGGAAAAAGUAGAGCAGGACGAAGGGGAGGAGACAGUCGCGGGGGCAGAGUGGCCCGGCGGGUCUCCUGCAACAGCGAGAAGGAGAUGAGGCCGCCUGUGGACGUAGUUGGGACAAACCGAUGAAAAGAAAGUCUCCCACCAACCUGGCAGGCACAACCCUUUCCAUAUGUGACCUCAAGGGAAACAGUGACGUGUCCUCAAGAGCCUCCCACAUAAAGCCUAUCCUGUGCGAAGACAGAGCCAGCCCAGCCCUCCCCGGCCGCUCUGCGCUCCGAUGCCCCAGCCCAGCCUCGCUUCCGGCCUGUCGGUGUCUGUGUACCUGAAGAUUUUUAAUAUCCAUCCCACUGCCUUCCGGUCUGCAAGGAGUCUAAGGAGAAAUCUGCUGGGGAAUCUUGCCAAAGAGCCCAUGUAUGUGACCAGUCACCUCCUUUGCUGCUUUCAAGAUUCUCUCUGGCUUUAGCUUUUGACAAUUUGACGUGUGUCUUGGCAUGCAUCUCCCUGACUAUUAUCAAUGCUGUCUCUCUCAAAACCCCAAUGAUGUUUUUUGAAGAAAUAGAAAAAAAAUUUUAUCCUAAAAUUCAUAUGGAAUCACAAGGGACCUGAAUAGACAAAAUAAUCUUGAAAAGGUACAAAGUUGGACUCACAUUUCCUGAUUUCAAAACUUACUAUGAAGCUACAGUGAUCAAGCGAAUGCGGUUCUGGUACCUGGACAGACAUCCUUGCUCAGAGGAAGGCAGCUGGGCCUCAAGAGCUAAAAUCUCAUACAUAUGGUCAAUCGAUUUUCAACAAGGUGGAAAGAUUAUUUCAAUGGAGAAAGGACAGACUUUUCAACAAGUGGUGCUGGGGAAACUGGACGUCCACCCUUAGGCAAGUGUCCGUCUAGAAGCGGAUGGAUAAACAAAAUGUGUAGACAUACGAUGCAAUAAUGGACCAACUUAAAAAGGAAUGAAGUUCUGAUAGAACAUGGACGAACCCUGAACACAUUACAGCAAGUGAAAUAAGCCACCCACAAAGGGCCACAUAGUGUAUGUGUGAUUCCACUUGUAUGAGCAACCUGGAAUAGGCAGAUUGAUGGCUGUGUGAUAGAGAUUAGAGGCUAUGUGGGCCCCGGGAGGCGGGAGUUACUGUUUCAGGGGUACAGUUUCUGUUCGGAAUGAUAAAAAAUGUUCUGGAAAUAGAUGGUGAUGAAAGCUGUACAACACUGUAACUAUAUUUUAUGUCCUUACAUUGUACUUUUAAAAAUGGUUAAAAUGGAAAUUUCUCUCUUAUGUAUAUUUUACCAAAAAAAAAAAAGAGGACUUGACAGCCUGGUGUGUGACUCGUAGUCCAUCCUAUAUUUACCUGGUAAUUGGGGUAGCCAUUCAAAUAAAAAAAAUCUGAAUGAUCAUAUGUCUGUGACAAGCGGGUAGGUAGGUACAACUUGGAGACAAGAGGUUAAGUCACAAUCCUACUAGGACAGGGAGGGGGUGCUGCGCACAGUGUGAUUCUUUCAAAGGGAUGACUGUGAAACUAUUGAGAAGCACAUUCCUGGGUUGUUACACUGGCCAGAGGCUUAUUUACCUUUUCAGAAGGUUUGCAUACAUCUCAAAGGGACAGAAAGUUUCACAAGUUUCCUGAAGCAAAUGCCCUAAGAAAAGGGAGGGAGGGG
Molecule: RNA transcript, 6000 nt
Organism: Manis pentadactyla (Chinese pangolin)
Lineage: Eukaryota; Metazoa; Chordata; Mammalia; Pholidota; Manidae
Gene: IL17REL
Gene name: interleukin 17 receptor E like
Exons: 19
Source: RefSeq, a predicted model, not a curated record